GACGAACGCUGGCGGCGUGCUUAACACAUGCAAGUCGAACGGAAAGGCCCUGCUUUUGUGGGGUGCUCGAGUGGCGAACGGGUGAGUAACAUGAGAGUAACCUGCCCUUGACUUUGGGAUAACAUCAGGAAACUGGGGCUAAUACCGGAUAGGAGCUCCUGCUGCAUGGUGGGGGUUGGAAAGUUUCGGCGGUUGGGGAUGGACUCGCGGCUUAUCAGCUUGUUGGUGGGGUAGUGGCUGACCAAGGCUUUGACGGGUAGCCGGCCUGAGAGGGUGACCGACCACAUUGGGACUGAGAUACGACCCAGACUCCUACGGGAGGCAGCAGUGGGGAAUAUUGCGCAAUGGGCGGGAGCCGGAUGCAACAACGCCGCGUGCGGGAUGACGGCCUUCGGGUUGUAAACCGCUUUCGCCUGUGACGAAGCGUGAGUGACGGUAAUGGGUAAAGAAGCACCGGCUAACUACGUG
Molecule: ribosomal RNA, 468 nt
Filed under: uncultured bacterium
Lineage: Bacteria
Description: partial 16S ribosomal RNA
Rfam family: Bacterial small subunit ribosomal RNA
Source: RNAcentral